This 484-nucleotide ribosomal RNA is filed under the name uncultured bacterium. RNAcentral's name for it is "partial 16S ribosomal RNA". It matches the Rfam family "Bacterial small subunit ribosomal RNA", at positions 30 to 507 of the family's 1533-position model. The record is from RNAcentral.
AUUGAACGCUGGCGGCAUGCCUUACACAUGCAAGUCGAACGGCAGCGCGGACUUCGGUCUGGCGGCGAGUGGCGAACGGGUGAGUAAUACAUCGGAACGUACCCUGUUGUGGGGGAUAACUAGUCGAAAGAUUAGCUAAUACCGCAUACGACCUGAGGGUGAAGGUGGGGGACCGCAAGGCCUCACGCAGCAGGAGCGGCCGAUGUCUGAUUAGCUAGUUGGUGGGGUAAAGGCCCACCAAGGCGACGAUCAGUAGCUGGUCUGAGAGGACGAUCAGCCGCACUGGGACUGAGACACGGCCCAGACUCCUACGGGAGGCAGCAGUGGGGAAUUUUGGACAAUGGGGGCAACCCUGAUCCAGCAAUGCCGCGUGUGUGAAGAAGGCCUUCGGGUUGUAAAGCACUUUUGUCCGGAAAGAAAUCGCGCUGGUUAAUACCUGGCGUGGAUGACGGUACCGGAAGAAUAAGCACCGGCUAACUACGUG